RNAcentral lists this ribosomal RNA (468 nucleotides) under uncultured bacterium. Its description in RNAcentral is "partial 16S ribosomal RNA". It matches the Rfam family "Bacterial small subunit ribosomal RNA", at positions 28 to 507 of the family's 1533-position model. The record is from RNAcentral.
GACGAACGCUGGCGGCGUGCUUAACACAUGCAAGUCGAACGGAAAGGCCCUGCUUUUGUGGGGUGCUCGAGUGGCGAACGGGUGAGUAACACGUGAGUAACCUGCCCUUGACUUUGGGAUAACUUCAGGAAACUGGGGCUAAUACCGGAUAGGAGCUCCUGCUGCAUGGUGGGGGUUGGAAAGUUUCGGCGGUUGGGGAUGGACUCGCGGCUUAUCAGCUUGUUGGUGGGGUAGUGGCUUACCAAGGCUUUGACGGGUAGCCGGCCUGAGAGGGUGACCGGCCACAUUGGGACUGAGAUACGGCCCAGACUCCUACGGGAGGCAGCAGUGGGGAAUAUUGCAUAAUGGGCGGAAGCAUGAUGCAGCAACGCCGCGUGCGGGAUGACGGCCUUCGGGUUGUAAACCGCUUUCGCCUGUGACGAAGCGUGAGUGACGGUAAUGGGUAAAGAAGCACCGGCUAACUACGUG